GGCGCGUUAGCAAAAUGGUUAUGCAGCGGAUUGCAAAUCCGCCUAUCUCGGUUCAAUUCCGAGACGCGCCUCCA
Molecule: transfer RNA, 74 nt
Rfam family: tRNA
About the family: Transfer RNA (tRNA) molecules are approximately 80 nucleotides in length. Their secondary structure includes four short double-helical elements and three loops (D, anti-codon, and T loops).